This 879-nucleotide ribosomal RNA is filed under the name uncultured bacterium. Its description in RNAcentral is "bacterial SSU rRNA". It matches the Rfam family "Bacterial small subunit ribosomal RNA", at positions 31 to 922 of the family's 1533-position model. The record is from RNAcentral.
GAACGCUUGGCGGCGCGCCUAACACAUGCAAGUCGAACGAGCGAGAGAGAGCUUGCUUUCUUGAGCGAGUGGCGAACGGGUGAGUAACGCGUGAGGAACCUGCCUCAAGGAGGGGGACAACAGUUGGAAACGACUGCUAAUACCGCAUAAGCCCACAGCUCGGCAUCGAGCAGAGGGAAAAGGAGCAAUCCGCUUUGAGAUGGCCUCGCGUCCGAUUAGCUAGUUGGUGAGGUAACGGCCCACCAAGGCAACGAUCGGUAGCCGGACUGAGAGGUUGAACGGCCACAUUGGGACUGAGACACGGCCCAGACUCCUACGGGAGGCAGCAGUGGGGAAUAUUGCACAAUGGGGGAAACCCUGAUGCAGCGACGCCGCGUGGAGGAAGAAGGUCUUCGGAUUGUAAACUCCUGUUGUUGAGGAAGAUAAUGACGGUACUCAACAAGGAAGUGACGGCUAACUACGUGCCAGCAGCCGCGGUAAAACGUAGGUCACAAGCGUUGUCCGGAAUUACUGGGUGUAAAGGGAGCGCAGGCGGGAAGACAAGUUGGAAGUGAAAUCUAUGGGCUCAACCCAUAAACUGCUUUCAAAACUGUUUUUCUUGAGUAGUGCAGAGGUAGGCGGAAUUCCCGGUGUAGCGGUGGAAUGCGUAGAUAUCGGGAGGAACACCAGUGGCGAAGGCGGCCUACUGGGCACCAACUGACGCUGAGGCUCGAAAGUGUGGGUAGCAAACAGGAUUAGAUACCCUGGUAGUCCACACCGUAAACGAUGAUUACUAGGUGUUGGAGGAUUGACCCCUUCAGUGCCGCAGUUAACACAAUAAGUAAUCCACCUGGGGAGUACGACCGCAAGGUUGAAACUCAAAGGAAUUGACGGAAGGGC